UCCCUGGUGGUCUAAUGGUUAGGAGUCGGCACUCUCACCGCCGCGGCUGGGGUUUGAUUCCCAGUCAUGUAA
This 72-nucleotide transfer RNA is filed under the name Homo sapiens (human). RNAcentral describes it as "tRNA-Glu-CTC-4-1". The record is from RNAcentral. Lineage: Eukaryota; Metazoa; Chordata; Mammalia; Primates; Hominidae.